RNAcentral lists this non-coding RNA (73 nucleotides) under unclassified sequences. Its description in RNAcentral is "DUF3800-IX RNA". It matches the Rfam family "DUF3800-IX RNA". Rfam says of the family: Actinobacteria, Firmicutes (1 example), Nitrospirae, Proteobacteria, Verrucomicrobia (1 example). Nearby to DUF3800 The record is from Rfam by way of RNAcentral.
CGCCCCGUGAAGAGUCGCCUGCUGUGGCGGCCUGUUUAGUCUCUUUGAGAUUGAACUAGCGGGGCGGGUUUUU